Molecule: ribosomal RNA, 562 nt
Filed under: uncultured bacterium
Lineage: Bacteria
Description: bacterial SSU rRNA
Rfam family: Bacterial small subunit ribosomal RNA
Source: RNAcentral
CCUACGGGAGGCAGCAGUGGGGAAUUUUCCGCAAUGGGCGCAAGCCUGACGGAGCAACGCCGCGUGAGGGAUGAAGGCCUCUGGGCUGUAAACCUCUUUUCUCAAGGAAGAAGACCUGACGGUACUUGAGGAAUAAGCCACGGCUAAUUCCGUGCCAGCAGCCGCGGUAAUACGGGAGUGGCAAGCGUUAUCCGGAAUUAUUGGGCGUAAAGCGUCCGCAGGCGGCCUAUUAAGUCUGUCGUUAAAGCGUGGAGCUCAACUCCAUUUAAGCGAUGGAAACUGGAAGGCUAGAGUGUGGUAGGGGCAGAGGGAAUUCCCGGUGUAGCGGUGAAAUGCGUAGAUAUCGGGAAGAACACCAGUGGCGAAGGCGCUCUGCUGGGCCAUAACUGACGCUCAUGGACGAAAGCCAGGGGAGCGAAAGGGAUUAGAUACCCCUGUAGUCCUGGCCGUAAACGAUGAACACUAGGUGUCGGGGGAAUCGACCCCCGUCGGUGUCGUAGCUAACGCGUUAAGUGUUCCGCCUGGGAGUACGCACGCAAGUGUGAACUUAAAGGAAUUGACG